RNAcentral lists this long non-coding RNA (4085 nucleotides) under Actinidia chinensis (golden kiwifruit). Its description in RNAcentral is "long non-coding RNA (ACHI_LNC007407)". Lineage: Eukaryota; Viridiplantae; Streptophyta; Magnoliopsida; Ericales; Actinidiaceae. The record is from RNAcentral.
GCUGCGACUGGUUCUCCCUGUUGGACAUUAACUGAAAUUUAGAAAUAUCAAACAAUUCUAGAAUUAUGUAUUCCGUGGCUUUCAGCAUUCUUAAUUAGGGUUGACUACCACUAAAAGGACGAUUCUAGAUAUUUAAUAUAUGAUAAUUAUGUGCCAUGAGUUGAAGAGCAAAAACAUAAAUUAAGAAGAGAGAAAAAUAGAAAGCCCUACAAGAUCGAUAAUUAGCAUUGGGAGUUCAAAAAUGCGAGUUUAUUGCCUCAAACUAUAAUUCUUUGGCAGUAUGCAGGGAGAGACCAUUCAUAUCACCAAAAAUAAAUCAAACACAGAUAUAUGGGAGAGAAGCAAUGAAGUCCAAAAAAUUUAGUAAGUUUUUGGAAGCAAUGUUGAAGGUUCAAAAUCUCCACAUCACAGUAUGACAAAUAAACUACAAUUUGCCUGAAAACAAAUUGAAAAAGAUGUGUGAAAUGAAUUCAAGGUAAUUGGGUGGCUGGCUUCAAGUCCCUUUGAGAAACUCAACCUCCGGGCUGUAUAACAAAAUCUCAAGGUUUGGAAUUCACAAGAAUUUGGGAACAUUCAUUUUACACUUAAUGAGCUAGUAAAUUAAGCAAGUUCAUCAUUUGGAGCAUCCAAGAAGAAAGAGACUUGUCUUAGAAGGGAAAGCCUUAAAGGGUGCUUCUUGUGGUGCGCAAGCAAACUAGGAGGAGGAAAACAGGGAUGUAGCGUGCGGGUCUUAAUUCAGUAAGAUUUAUAACACAAUUUGCGCCGUAUGUGGAAAAACACGGUACGUUCUUGAGUUGUUCUGAUUUACUUGCGCUACUAAGUCAUGUUAGGAGCUAGAGAUCUGAUGGAUCUAGAUACGCAAGAUCCCCGACCAAAGACAAGUAGGGAAAAGAGCAGGCCCCUAGUUGUUCAAUCAAUGGUGGAGAUCGCCUGAUCCGCCUACAUGGCAUUAGGUCGUUGGUGCAGAACUUGGAAGAUUAGAUGGAUGGCAAAAGCGCAACCACCGACGCAAUUUGCCUUGAGAUCAUCCGCCUAAAAGCGGAACUCAAAAAGGUCAAAUCGGGAGGCCUCGCGGAAAAUGAGCUCGGAGGCCCGUCGGGGUUGCUCACCUAGGCAAAGUGAGCACGUUUGGUCCGUGAGGAAGGAUACUCCUGUUUGGUUCGAGAGAAUAUAUAGACACUCCUGUUCGGUCUGGUAGAUGGGAAGAUCCUGUUCGAUCCGUGAUAGGGAAUAUGCCUGUUCAGUUCGUGCGAGAGCAUAGUGUGGCCGGGAGUACGACACAUACACACCGGCACGGUCAAGGAGAGUGUACCGGUCGGGAGACGAAAAAAACCAAGAUGAUCAUCCACGAAUCCUUCUCCUAUACUCGACCGACUGACUUGAGAGAGUUCCUAGACCGGAGGUGCGGGGAGCGGACUUAAUUCCCACGCAAGGAGCCAAUGCGGUUCAAGGAGAAGAACCCCAUAUAGAGGCUAGCUUUGUGUCCAUUCUCCCCGAAGAUAGAAGAGGUAGAGUCACCGAAGAAGUUUUCCAUGCCCAAGUUCAACCUAUAUGAUGGGAGGAUUGACCCCUAUGACCAUCUAAGCCACUAUAGGCAGAUGAUGGUCUUGUGACAAAGCAAUGACGCACUUAUGUGCAAAGUCUUCCCAUUUAGACUUGGCAAGAUUGGGCUACUUUUGUGGGACAAGCUAGUUGUCGGAUCUAUCCUCAAUUGGAGGCAGCUCUCUGAGAUCUUCGCGACUAGGUUUAUCACUAACGCAAGGAUCCCCAAGGAAAUGAAUUCGCUUCUCGGUAUGAAGAAGCAGAGCCGAGAGUCACUAAGGGACUUCUCCCGGAGGUAUUGGGAUACAUACAACGAAAUUGAGAAUUGCACCGAGCAGCUAGUGAUGGAUAUCUUCAAGCACGGUCUGGAUCGAGAUGCGUUGUUCUGCCAAUAUGUCACGUUGGCUCUGGAAGUCAACAUGGAUGAGUUGAUGUUGAGGAUCGAGCAACAUACUCGGUUGGAGGAAGACAUGGUCAAGUAUUAUAUUGGUUCGUCUUCCCUCAAAUGUGAUGGAUAAAAGGAUGGCCGAACAAAAAAAGAGUGAGGUUGGAGGCCUUGUUUAGAAAGGUCAUUAAUCAUUCGGAGUUCAGGGCUUGGAGAAGACAUGAGCGGUAACAGAUUUUUAGGGUGUAGAUGAAUCCCUAAUUUGAUUUAUGUAUUUAGUUUAGGAUUUUUGAGAUUGAUUCAAUGAUGGUAUAAGUUUUAAUGUUUUUGAUUUAUUCAAUGUUUUGAUUGUUUUAAUCUAGCAAUCGUAUUUAUUUUAUGUGAUUACAAAAGAUGAGGUUAUAGAAUGGGAAUCUUCGAUGUGUGGUCGUUAGAUUAAGACAGCUUAUACUAAGAGAAGACAGAUCGUGCCGUUGAGAUAGUCUUUGCCAUAGAGACGAACUGUAUCUUUGAAACGAUCUGUACUAAUCGAAGAUAGGUUAUGCAUUUCUAUGUCACACUAAUUUUCUAGAUGACAAGCCAUGGCAGGUUAUUAUUAAAUUGAUUAAAGUAACUUAGAUUUUAUGCAUAUUCAUUGUCACGAGUUAGGGUGCAUACUUGAAUGACUAUUAUUUUAAUUUAUUUGUUUUCAUAGUUUUUCAAUUAAUUACACUUUCAAUUCAAAUUUUUGUUCUAAAUUAAUCUAAGAAUUAGUUUUGAAAUAACAUAACUUAGGCUUGAUCCCCGUGAUGUGAUAUUCAGACUAAAACAACUAUUGCAAUUGAAUUGGUAUUUAAGAAUAGUUUAUAUUUAUUUUUUGGUUCGAAACGACAUGGUCAAUCACCUAUGUAUUGCCUCUGUCCCAUAUUGUUGAUCGAUUAUUCAAUUUUAAGAUGUUUCAAAAUGUAUUCAAAUUUCAAAUUUUCAGCAAAGAAAACUAUCCAAAUUUUCUUUUUUAACUGUUCUUUUAUAUUUAUUUAAGUAAUAUUUCAAUUUAAAAAAAAAGUUAAAUGUCAUGAUUAUAAGUGUAAAAUUAAAAGGUUAAUAAAAAUUAAAUGUAAUAAAGGCAUGAUUUAAAAAAUUAAAUUUACAAAAAAGGACGAGCAAUAUAUGGGAGUGGGACGGAGGGAGUAUAAGGCAAUAGAGAGGAGAGAGAGAAACAGAGUACUACACCCGUAGGGACGAAACCAGGAUUCCACCAUUGCAGUAAGGGGCAUUCGUAGGAAGACCCCCGGCCACCAUAUCAUAUUUAUUGUAUAUAUAUGUAUGAGAUAUAUAUUAUAUUAGAGUUUUAUCAAAAGUAGGGGUCAUAGUCCUUUACUGUCUAAACGUGGUUUUAUCCUUGCUGGCAGCUAAUCUUACCGUGCCUCAUAAGCACAUGGGUCUGCAAUAAAUUUUCCCUCCAUUCUUUUUCCUCUGUUUUUUCUCUCUUUCUUCCCGUACCACACCCCACUGUGGCAAAGAGCAAACCCAGUUUUUCAGCCUUUUGACUUUCUAACUUUUAAAUUACUUUGAACUUCCCUGAGAUGUUGUCUUCUUGAUGAGGUGGCGGAUUUGUGACGGAAACAACAGAGAGAAGAGGUGCGGUGUAAGCCGCCGCGAGAGCGUGAUCAGAAAAACAGAGAGAGACGGGGCGUUUUGUUGACGAAGGGAAAAGUUUACUAUGAACCAUAAAUUAUAAAGAGUUAUGUGGUAAUUUUUCGAAGCGAAGUGAAGUAUUGGAAUAAAAAACAAAUUCGAACAAAGUAUUGGAAUACCUCAAAAAAUUCCUAUAUUGCCCUUGAGCGAAAGGAAUGAUGUUUCGUAGACAGUUGAUGCCGAAGUAAGCUUGGUGCCAUCUCUGGGGAGGCUGACUGUUCUUGUUUGCGAGAGAUACGGAAAUUUUGAUGACUGCAUAAGCCACGCGCCAUUUCCUCCCGUAAGUUUUCGAAGCAGUGACUUCCAUGAAGAAAGACGAAGUGGUUCGUUCAGUGGGUUUAAGUGUUUGAGUCUUCGUUCCUGAAGAAACGAAUGGCAAAAGAAAAAAAAUAAAGCUUUCCCCCAAGAAAUUAGAAUGUUUUGUCAAAUCAAUAAGGUCCAAUUUCAAAAUGUGGUGAUGCACCUAUUUGUAGAGGGUGGG